This 120-nucleotide ribosomal RNA is filed under the name uncultured bacterium. RNAcentral's name for it is "partial 16S ribosomal RNA". It matches the Rfam family "Bacterial small subunit ribosomal RNA", at positions 796 to 913 of the family's 1533-position model. The record is from RNAcentral.
CACGCCGUAAACGGUGGGUACUAGGUGUGGGGGACAUUCCACGUUCUCCGUGCCGCAGCUAACGCAUUAAGUACCCCGCCUGGGGAGUACGGCCGCAAGGCUAAAACUCAAAGGAAUUGA